GUGGAUGUAGCUCAGUUGGUCAGAGCGUCGGAUUGUGGUUCCGAAGGUCGCCGGUUCGAGCCCGGUCUUCCACCC
This 75-nucleotide transfer RNA is filed under the name Flavobacteriales bacterium. RNAcentral's name for it is "tRNA-His". It matches the Rfam family "tRNA". From Rfam's summary of the family: Transfer RNA (tRNA) molecules are approximately 80 nucleotides in length. Their secondary structure includes four short double-helical elements and three loops (D, anti-codon, and T loops). Further hydrogen bonds mediate the characteristic L-shaped molecular structure. tRNAs have two regions of fundamental functional importance: the anti-codon, which is responsible for specific mRNA codon recognition, and the 3' end, to which the tRNAs corresponding amino acid is attached (by aminoacyl-tRNA synthetases). tRNAs cope with the degeneracy of the genetic code in two manners: having more than one tRNA (with a specific anti-codon) for a particular amino acid; and 'wobble' base-pairing, i.e. permitting non-standard base-pairing at the 3rd anti-codon position. The record is from RNAcentral. Lineage: Bacteria; Pseudomonadati; Bacteroidota; Flavobacteriia; Flavobacteriales.